This 1347-nucleotide ribosomal RNA is filed under the name uncultured prokaryote. RNAcentral's name for it is "partial 16S ribosomal RNA". It matches the Rfam family "Bacterial small subunit ribosomal RNA", at positions 37 to 1353 of the family's 1533-position model. The record is from RNAcentral.
UGGCGGCGUGGUUGAUACAUGCAAGUCGAACGGGAAAGUAUCCUUCGGGAUGCGAGUACAGUGGCGGACGGGUGAGUAAUACGUGAUCAAUCUGCCCUUGGGAGUGGGAUAGCCAUUCGAAAGGAUGGGUAAUACCACAUGUGACCACAGCACCGCAUGGUGCAGUGGUAAAAAGGUUGGGAUCUUCGGACCUUCUGCCCAAGGAUGAGAUCACGGCCUAUUAGCUUGUUGGUGGGGUAACGGCCUACCAAGGCGAUGAUGGGUAGCCGGCUUGAGAGGGUGGACGGCCACACUGGAACUGAGACACGGUCCAGACUCCUACGGGAGGCAGCAGUGCUGAAUCAUUCGCCAAUGCGCGAAAGCGUGACGGUGCGACGCCGCGUGCGGGAUGAAGGCUUUCGAGUUGUAAACCGCUGUCAGGAUUUAGGAACCCGUAGUCGUUAAUAGCGGCUACGCUGACCAGAUCCAAAGGAAGCACAGGCUAACCUCGUGCCAGCAGCCGCGGUAAGUCGAGGUGUGCGAGCGUUGUUCGGAAUCACUGGGCAUAAAGGGUGCGUAGGCGGCUUGAUAAGUCAGAUGUGAAAUCCCCCGGCUCAACCGGGGAACUGCAUUUGAUACUGUCAGGCUAGAGAGUGAAAGGGGCUAGCGGAAUUCCAGGUGUAGCGGUGGAAUGCGUAGAUAUCUGGGAGAACGCCAACGGCGAAGGCAGCUAGCUGGGUCACUUCUGACGCUGAGGCACGAAAGCUAGGGGAGCAAACAGGAUUAGAUACCCUGGUAGUCCUAGCCGUAAACGAUGGGCACUACGUGCCGGGAUCCUGACGAUUUCGGUGCGUGAGCUAAUGCGUUAAGUGUCACGCCUGGGGAGUAUGGUCGCAAGGCUAAAACUCAAAGGAAUUGACGGGGGCUCACACAAGCGGUGGAGAUGUUGUUCAAUUCGAAGCACGCGAAGAACCUUACCUGGGCUUGACAUGCUAGCAGUAGGAACCUGAAAGGGGGACGACCGGUAUCCAAUCCGGAACUUAGCACAGGUGCUGCAUGCUGUCGUCAGCUCGUGUCGUGAGACGUUGGGUUAAGUCCCGUAACGAGCGAAACCCCUGUCGUCUGUUGCUACCGGGUUUCAUGCCGGGCACUCUGGCGAGACUGCCGGUGUUAAACCGGAGGAAGGUGGGGACGACGUCAAGUCAUCAUGGUCCUUACGCCCAGGGCUACAAACGUGCUACAAUGGCGGGCACAGGUAGAGCCGCGAAACCGCGAGGUGGAGCAAAUCUUCAAAACCCGCCCCAGUUCAGAUUGGAGGCUGCAAUUCGCCUCACAUGAAGUUGGAAUCGCUAGUAAUCGCGGAUCAGC